This 262-nucleotide ribosomal RNA is filed under the name uncultured bacterium. RNAcentral describes it as "partial 16S ribosomal RNA". It matches the Rfam family "Bacterial small subunit ribosomal RNA", at positions 1094 to 1360 of the family's 1533-position model. The record is from RNAcentral.
CGGCAAACCCCUUGUUCCCUAGUUUGCAGCGGUUCGGCCGGGAACUUAGGGAGACUGCCGGUGAUAAACCGGAGGAAGGUGGGGAUGACGUCAAGUCAUCAUGGCCCUUAUGGGCUGGGCUUCACACGUGCUACAAUGGCCGGCACAGACGGUUGCUAACCCGCGAGGGGGAGCUAAUCCGACAAAACCGGUCGUAGNGAUUGCAGUCUGCAACUCGACCGCAUGAAGUCGGAUCGCUAGUAAUCGCAGAUCAGAACGCUGC